Poecilia reticulata (guppy) is the source of this 687-nucleotide non-coding RNA. Lineage: Eukaryota; Metazoa; Chordata; Actinopteri; Cyprinodontiformes; Poeciliidae. The record is from RefSeq and is a predicted model, not a curated record.
UCUGAAAAAGGAUAAAAUAUUCCUGCUCUGUUUCCACCAAUUUCUCAGUUUCUGAAAAACAAAGCGAGGCACCGACAGCCCGAGGUGAUUUUCUGGCCCCGUCGUCCCAGAAACCCGCCGCAGCAUGUAGAUGUCAUGAAGUACCGGGUCCGGUCAACAUCCUGCAGAACCAAACAGCAGAACCAGACCUGGAAACGUCUGGAGGAGAAGGGUUUGGUACCAAACGACGCCACGGUAAACAUGGUCUGGUCUUUGGAACGGAACAGAGAGGAGGUGAUUGCAAGCAGCAACGAAACACAGAAGCAUCUUCAGGAAGCGCCGCUGCGCCGCGUCUUCCUGCUGCUGAAUGAACCUCGGAUCAGCUGAUGGCUGAUUUGUUCGGCGUUGAAAGCUUCGGAGGCUUCCUCCUGAUCUGGGUAUUCACUUCUGAAAGCUUCUCCCUGAAAACAUGCUGUCACCAAAGAAUGUGCUGUGAUUAUCUUCCCCAGCAGCAGCCUGGCAGGCGGAGAACCGGAUCUCUGCUCGGCGUCCCGACCCGACCCGACCCGGCUCACACACCGCCGGGAAAAACCUUCUCUGGUUUACAGGCUGUAAAGGAGCCUUGCUGUUCUGACGUCCGUCAUGGCGGAGUGGGCGGAGUUACGACGUCACAAUAACUUCCUGACCGCUUGAUGGCCAGCUGAUCCG